Non-coding RNA from Microcebus murinus (gray mouse lemur), 911 nucleotides. NCBI's taxonomy places the organism in Eukaryota, Metazoa, Chordata, Mammalia, Primates, Cheirogaleidae. The record is from RefSeq and is a predicted model, not a curated record.
UGCAAAGAGCCAUCACCUUACCCACAAACAAAUCAAAGACUUAUUGGACGUGGGGCUGAAAAUAUCCCUGGAUGUCUCUGGAGCCUGGGAUUCCAUAGAUGCGAGCCCCCGUUGUUUGUAACAUGCUGCAUGUCACACGUUUGUCUCCUGAGGUCAUCCCUUGUUCAUAAAAACAUGACCUUUCCUGCCACGUCUAGGGGGAAUCGAUCCAGCCACAAGGAUGUAGGUCUGGCCUGUUCUAGAAGGCAGCGAGGAAGUCCUCCGGUUUCCACACUUCCUAUCUCACUACCGGUUCCUGGAAAUGGGGCCCGUGUCUCCUCUUUCACUCCUUUAAGCGUGUCAGGAGGGAGAGCCGGGUACUGGCGGGGCGUCUGCCAGAUUCCCACUCCCCGUCUUCGUCUGGGAAUCGCCUCUCUCCACACACACACAAGAAGGGCCCCUGGGCGGCCAUGUUUACACAACCCACCUUCUUCCCGCCCUGAUUGGACUAGAGCAGUCACGUGAGCCGUGGAGCGCCAAUCAGCAGAAUCUGCAACUGAGGGACCACUUCCGGGUGGUCUGCUGCCUUGGAGGAGGCAACAGCAAAAUUGAAAACUCCUACAUUUAUUUGUAGCACUGUUUAUGGUGGUGAAAAUUGGAAACAAGCAAGAUGAUCAAGAAGGGAUUGGUUAGAUAAAUCCCCCUGUGUCUUCCACGACCAUAUCAUCCAAUGAAGAAAUCGAGGCUUCUAGGAAUCAAGGGACAUGUUUGAGAUUGCACAGCGCUUCUUAGAAGGACUUGGGAUUUCAACUCUUGAGUCCUACACCUUUGAAUGCCACUCUGCAACUCUAUACCGCCUCCCUGCCUCCUCAAGGCGCUCAUAACGAGUGAGACGUGCACCAUCUGGGGGAUGGUCAUGAUGGAGACUCAGA